This 403-nucleotide ribosomal RNA is filed under the name bacterium. RNAcentral's name for it is "partial 16S ribosomal RNA". It matches the Rfam family "Bacterial small subunit ribosomal RNA", at positions 355 to 776 of the family's 1533-position model. The record is from RNAcentral.
UGGGGAAUAUUGCACAAUGGGGGAAACCCUGAUGCAGCGACGCCGCGUGAACGAAGAAGGUAUUCGUAUCGUAAAGUUCUGUCCUAUGGGAAGAUAAUGACAGUACCAUAGAAGAAAGCUCCGGCUAACUACGUGCCAGCAGCCGCGGUAAUACGUAUGGAGCGAGCGGUGUCCUGAAUUAUUGGGCGUAAAGGGUACGCAGGCGGUUUAAUAAGUCGAAUGUUAAAGAUCGGGGCUCAACCCCGUAAAGCAUUGGAAACUGAUAAACUUGAGUAGUGGAGAGGAAAGUGGAAUUCCUAGUGUAGUGGUGAAAUACGUAGAUAUUAGGAGGCAUACCAGUAGCGAAGGCGACUUUCUGGACACAAACUGACGCUGAGGUACGAAAGCGUGGGGAGCAAACAGG